GACGAACGCUGGCGGCGUGCUUAACACAUGCAAGUCGAACGGAAAGGCCUCUUUCGGGCGGUACUCGAGUGGCGAACGGGUGAGUAACACGUGAGUAACCUGCCCUUGACUUUGGGAUAACUUCAGGAAACUGGGGCUAAUACCGGAUAGGAGCUCCUGCUGCAUGGUGGGGGUUGGAAAGUUUCGGCGGUUGGGGAUGGACUCGCGGCUUAUCAGCUUGUUGGUGGGGUAGUGGCUUACCAAGGCUUUGACGGGUAGCCGGCCUGAGAGGGUGACCGGCCACAUUGGGACUGAGAUACGGCCCAGACUCCUACGGGAGGCAGCAGUGGGGAAUAUUGCACAAUGGGUGGAAGCCUGAUGCAGCAACGCCGUGUGCGGGAUGACGGCCUUCGGGUUGUAAACCGCUUUCGCUCAUGACGAAGCUUUGUGUGACGGUAGUGGGUAAAGAAGCACCGGCUAACUACGUG
This 467-nucleotide ribosomal RNA is filed under the name uncultured bacterium. Its description in RNAcentral is "partial 16S ribosomal RNA". It matches the Rfam family "Bacterial small subunit ribosomal RNA", at positions 28 to 507 of the family's 1533-position model. The record is from RNAcentral.